ACUCAGGGGAAGAGAAAAAAACACGGCACCAUAAUGAUAGAACAGCCAGCCAACCUAACCUGUGGAGAUAUUGAUAUCUUGAAGCGAUGGUUAGAAGUAUGAAGGUCAUUCUCGCUAGAAUGAAUUUCUGCCAUUGCAUAUCAUUGGUUUGUUUACUUUGAAAAAAU
Populus euphratica (Euphrates poplar) is the source of this 167-nucleotide long non-coding RNA. RefSeq lists it as uncharacterized. NCBI's taxonomy places the organism in Eukaryota, Viridiplantae, Streptophyta, Magnoliopsida, Malpighiales, Salicaceae. The transcript has 2 exons. The record is from RefSeq and is a predicted model, not a curated record.